CAGCAGCCACGGUAAUACGAAGGGUGCAAGCGUUAAUCGGAAUUACUGGGCGUAAAGCGUGCGUAGGCGGUUUGUUAAGUCUGCUGUGAAAUCCCCGGGCUCAACCUGGGAAUGGCAGUGGAUACUGGCAAGCUAGAGUGUGUCAGAGGAUGGUGGAACUCCCGGUGUAGCGGUGAAAUGCGUAGAGAUCGGGAGGAACAUCAGUGGCGAAGGCGGCCAUCUGGGACAACACUGACGCUGAGGCACGAAAGCGUGGGGAGCAAACAGGAUUAGAUACCCGAGUAGUCCCUGUCUCUUAUCC
Molecule: ribosomal RNA, 301 nt
Filed under: uncultured bacterium
Lineage: Bacteria
Description: partial 16S ribosomal RNA
Rfam family: Bacterial small subunit ribosomal RNA
Source: RNAcentral